RNAcentral lists this ribosomal RNA (492 nucleotides) under uncultured bacterium. RNAcentral's name for it is "partial 16S ribosomal RNA". It matches the Rfam family "Bacterial small subunit ribosomal RNA", at positions 29 to 507 of the family's 1533-position model. The record is from RNAcentral.
AUUGAACGCUGGCGGCAUGCUUUACACAUGCAAGUCGAACGGUAACAGGCCUUCGGGUGCUGACGAGUGGCGAACGGGUGAGUAAUGCAUCGGAACGUACCCAGAGGUGGGGGAUAACGCAGCGAAAGCUGUGCUAAUACCGCAUGUGAUCUGAGGAUGAAAGCGGGGGACCGAGCAGCAAUGUUUGGCCUCGCGCCUUUGGAGCGGCCGAUGUCGGAUUAGCUAGUUGGUGGGGUAAAGGCCUACCAAGGCGACGAUCCGUAGCUGGUCUGAGAGGACGACCAGCGACACUGGGACUGAGACACGGCCCAGACUCCUACGGGAGGCAGCAGUGGGGAAUUUUGGACAAAGGGCGCAAGCCUGAUCCAGCAAUGCCGCGUGCGGGAAGAAGGCCUUCGGGUUGUAAACCGCUUUUGGCAGGAACGAAACGGUGUCCGCUAAUACCGGGCGCUAAUGACGGUACCUGCAGAAUAAGCACCGGCUAACUACGUG